GUGGGGGAGGGACACAAAGUGAGCGCUGUAGCCUCACAAUAAUAAUGAAUGGAAACUCUAAAGUAGCAAGUUGGGUUACUGCGUAUAUUAAUUGAUCUGCAAGCGGAUACAACAUGUAAAGAAAACAAUGAUUUUAAUAAUUCGGGCACGCGUUUUAACUAAGGGAAAGACACAAACCGAAGAAUAUGGAGAAUAAUGAAAUAUAAAAAAGAAAAAAGCAUGUUUUAAACGCAUUUAUUUUGAAGUGGGAGAUUUUAUAACUUACAGAUAUUGAAGUGCCUUUAUGUUAUUGUUUUUAAAACAAUACAUUUGAUUUACGGUAUGCGUUGAGGAAAUUGAUUCGUCUGACGGGUUGCCUCAUUCCGAACUGGAUUCGUAGUUAAUUUAACGGAUUUAUAAAGUUCUGUUUCAGUGGAAUUCGUACAAAAACACAACGAACGGGGUCAUUUUUUAAUGGAUUUUUUUCUCUUGGCUGAACUUUGUGAAGUUUCCGAAUUGUAGAGGAAAACAAUUCAACAAGACUUCCCUUUGGGGAGUUGAUUUCUAAAACCGGACCCGAGCACAAACCGUGGAAGGAAAUCGCGUUUUGUCCUCUAAAGGGAAAAUGGGGAAUGUGGAAAGUUUGGAUGAUCAGACGGAUUUGAAACCCCACAUCAUGCCACUGAAACUCCCCAUGCCCGAACAAUGCGAGCUGGAAGAACGAUUCGCCCUGGUUUUGAAUUCCAUGAACCUGCCUCCCGACAAGGCCAGGUUACUGCGGCAGUACGACAACGAGAAGAAAUGGGACCUGAUCUGUGAUCAGGAGAGGUUUCAAGUGAAAAACCCGCCUCACACCUACAUUCAGAAGCUCAGGGGGUUCCUGGAUCCAGGAGUAACCAGAAAGAAAUUCAGGAGGAGGGUCCUGGAGUCCACUAAGGUGCUGAGAGAGCUGGAGAUCUCCCUGCGGACCAAUUACAUUGGGUGGGUGCGAGAGUUCUUGAACGAUGAGAACAGAGGUCUGGACGUGCUGGUGGAGUACCUGUCAUUCGCUCAGUGUGCCGUCAUGUUUGAUUUUGAGGCUCUGGAGAAUGGGGAGGAUGGCGUGCUAGACAAGUCGAAAUCCUGGAGCAGGUCCAUUGAGGAUCUGCACCAGAACUGUGCCCAGCCUUUCAGCAACAGCCUCGCUCGCUCUGCCCGCCAGUCUGUCCUACGCUACAGCACGCUGUCAAACAGGAAAACCAUAAAGAACUCUCGUCUGGUGAGCCAGAAGGAUGACGUGCACGUCUGCAUCAUGUGCCUGCGAGCCGUCAUGAACUACCAGUACGGCUUCAACCUGGUCAUGUCCCACCCUCACGCCGUCAAUGAAAUUGCACUGAGUUUGAAUAACAAGAAUUCCAGAACGAAAGCUUUGGUUCUGGAGCUCCUGGCCGCGGUCUGCCUAGUGAGAGGAGGCCAUGAAAUUAUCCUGUCCGCAUUCGACAACUUUAAAGAGGUUUGUAAGGAGAAGCAUCGCUUUGAGAAGCUGAUGGAAUAUUUCAGAAAUGAAGACGGGAACAUCGAUUUCAUGGUGGCCUGCAUGCAGUUCAUUAACAUCAUGGUGCACUCCGUGGAGGAUAUGAAUUUCCGAGUCCACCUGCAGUACGAGUUCACCAAACUGGAGCUGGACGACUUCCUGGAGAGAUCGAAGCACACAGAGAGUGACAAGCUGGCCGUUCAGAUCCAGGCUUACCUGGACAAUGUGUUCGACGUUGGGGGGCUGCUGGAGGACGCAGAGACCAAGAACGCGGCUCUGGAGAAGGUGGAGGAGCUGGAAGAGCACCUGUCCCACUUAACAGAGAAGCUGCUGGACCUGGAGAAUGAUAACAUGAUGAGGGUGGCUGAUCUGGAGACCCAGCUUCUACACAGAGACAAAGAGCUGGAGCUGGUGAAGGAAACGUACGAGUCGACGAACUCGCAGGUGCACACGCUGCGCCGCAUGAUCAAGGAGAAGGAAGACGCCUACCAGCGGCAAUCCAACAUCGAGAAGAGACUGCAGGAGCUGGAGCAGCAGGGAACCAUCCGCCUUCACAAGCAGGCCGACGGGGACAUUGACAUCGUGCCUCUGGGAGGAGGAGGAGGAGGAGGGGGUACAGGGGGAGGCUCGGGAGGGCCUGGAACUGUGGAGACGCCCUUCUCAGAACCUGCACCCCCACCCCCGCCCCCACCCCCACCCCUGCCUACAGCAGGGGAGAGUCUUCCAGCGCCAGCCCCGCCCCCUCCUCCGCCCCCUCCCGCAGCCCCGCCCCUUCCUGGAAUGUCGCCUUCUGUCAUCCUGAGCGUCGGCCUAUCGGCGAUCCGGAUAAAGAAGCCCAUCAAGACCAAGUUCCGUCUGCCGGUGUUCAACUGGACAGCUCUGAAACCCAACCAGAUCAACGGCACGGUCUUCAACGAGAUCGAUGACGAGAGGAUAAUGCAGGAGCUGGAUUUGGAUAAGUUUGAGGAGCUGUUCAAGACCAAGGCUCAGGGGCCCAUCGUGGACCUGGUGUGUCCCAAGAGCAAGGUGGCGCAGAAGGCCGUCAACAAGGUGACCCUGCUGGAGGCCAACCGGUCGAAGAACCUGGCCAUCACGCUGCGCAAAGCCAACAAGAGCACGGAGGAGAUCUGCAAAGCCAUCCACACGUUCGAUCUGAAGGUGCUGCCCAUCGACUUCGUGGAGUGCCUGACGCGCUUCCUGCCCACGGAGGCGGAGGGGAAGCUGCUGCGGCAGUACGAGCGCGAGCGCAGGCCCCUGGAGGACCUGGCCGACGAGGAUCGCUUCAUGCUGCACUUCAGCAAGAUCGAGAGGCUCACGCAGAGGAUGAGCAUCAUCACCUUCAUCGGCAACUUCAACGACAACGUGCAGCUGCUCACGCCGCAACUGAAUGCCAUAAUCGCAGCAUCAGCUUCCGUUAAGUCCUCGCAGAAAUUAAAGAAAAUGUUAGAGAUUAUCCUGGCCUUGGGAAACUACAUGAACAGCAGCAAGAGAGGAGCGGUCUACGGGUUUAAAUUACAGAGCUUGGACCUGCUCCUGGACACCAAGUCUACAGACAGGAAGCUCACCCUAUUGCACUACAUAGCCCUCGUUGUGAAGGAGAAGUACCCCGAGAUCUCAGCCUUCUGGAACGAGUUGCACUUCAUCGACAAAGCGGCGGCAGUAUCCCUGGAGAACGUGCUGCUGGAUGUGAAGGAGCUGGGCAGGGGGAUGGAUCUGAUCCGACGGGAGUGCAGCCUCCACGAUCACGGGGUCCUCAAGAACUUCGUCAGCGCCAACGAGGGCAGACUGGAGAAACUGCAGAAGGACGCCAAGACUGCCGAGGAGGCCUUCAAUACCGUGGUUCGUUACUAUGGGGAGAAUCAGAAGACGACCCCCCCCUCGGUAUUCUUCCCUGUGUUUGUCCGCUUUGUGAAGGCCUACAAGGAAGCGGAACAGGAAAACGAGCAGAGGAAGAAGCAGGAGGAAGCCAUGAGGGAGAAGAUGCUGGCACAGGAGGCAAAGCAGCAGGAUCCCAAGUCUCAGGUCCAGAAGAACAGCAAGAGGCAGCACCAGCAGCACGACCUGAUCACUGAGCUGAGGAGGCGACAGGCCAAGGAGCACAGGCCGGUGUACGAGGGGAAGGACGGCACCAUCGAGGAUAUUAUAACAGUGCUGAAGAGUGUCCCGUUCACGGCCCGAACAGCCAAGCGGGGCUCACGGUUCUUCUGCGAUACGGUCCUCUGUGAGGAGUCCAACUGUUAGUGCCCUCUCCGCCCAGCAGCACCCUGCCAAGCUGAAAGAAAGAGGCACCUCAUUAAGUUAUCAAAUUCUAAACAGCGGAUCUCAGGAACCAGCCCUUUCUACGAGCUGAUGCGGUGAUCCGGAGCGGCUGGAGGAGAGUGUGAGGCGGGGGGCUGGAGUUCCCUCGUCUUGGAGUUCACCCCUCCGCAGCAGACUGGAAUCGGAUGGGAUUUUUCAGAAGGAAUUUGGAAAAUGCCCCCCCCCCCCCCUCCUCCUACCCCCGCCUCCCCAGGUGACCUUGAAGGAACGAGGCUGCUUCCUCCUAAAACCAAAUAAGACUUUCAUUGUUUUUCUUAAAAAAAAAAAAAAAGACAUUCCUCACAAUAUUACAGUAUUACUGCUAAGGUGUUUUAGCCAUAAUUUGUAAAAAAUUUUAAAACCUAUUUUAAUAUUAUUUUUUUACUUUUUAUCUUUAAAUAUCCAAUACUGUAAAUUGACUGUGUUUAGCCUCUCCGUGUUUUGCCCUUGCCCGCUUAUACUGCACAUGGAGAAAGCGAUGUGGUUGCUUCUCUGAUGUAUUUAAGGUGUUCACGCUAGGCCUAAGCUUCUAGCGUUCAAAUGCAAAAUACCCUCGUUUCAGUUCCGGAACGCACAGUCCUGAAGAUUCCGAAUUCCCACAGUGAUCUCGUCCAGCUCCAGCAAACAUCCUCCCAAGCCCAGCAGCACUGCACAGCUUUUCAAUUCAUACCCACGCCUAGCUGGUACCUGCACUCUACAGUAAGAGCAGACUGGAUUGAGAGCCUUUUAUUACAGAAAUCUUCAGUGCAGUUAUUAAGAAUAGGACCUGAACACAGGGUCCCAGAAUGUGGGAGUGCUUGAAGCCUGUUAAAUACACCAGUUGAAGAAUGAAAUAUCGUCUGCAGCCCUGCGAUUUGUAUUCUUCGUUUUGUUGUCUUCUUGUUUUCAAUUUAAAGGAUUUGCAUACAGAGAUUAGGCUCUGCCCUGUGCCAGUUUAAUCACAUGUUUGCAGCUAAACCUGCAUUUUUUUCCUCUAAACACUAAGUGGCUAAACUUUUCAGUAUUAUAAAAUUGUCAGUAUAAUUUUAAAAAGGCAUUUGAUUUCUCGAAGGCCACACCCAAAGGUUUUCUGUGCUUUGAGGAGCGAGUUCUCUUACUCGUACGGUCCUGCAUUCCCGAAAGGGUUUAUCUAAGAACACAGCACCUCUCCUUGCGUUAGAAUUGAACCCCAUGGCAGCCCCUCUCCUGCUGCUAACGCCUGCUGUUUUGAGGGUAACAGAAAAAGCAAUGGAAGCAGUGUAAUGUAUCAUAAACACUGCAUUUCACGAGAGAAAGUGAGGGAGAGAUGAUUUCAAAUAGCUACUCAAACCUUAAGCUUUUUUUUUUAAAAGCAAUGCACACAGCUGUAGGUCUCUUGAAACUAGUAAUACCAGAGAUUUAAAUAGCUAGCCAGUGCAUUGGAAAUUGCUUACCAGGUAACUGUUGUGCAAAAAAAGUCCAGUGACAUGAACUAGCCACUGUGUCUGUGUCUAACUGUCGUUAUCAGAAUAAAGAAAAUGAUGCAGCUGUUUUUAGAUUUUGGUUGUGGGACAGUUCAGACCGGUUGGCUUUGACCAUUCGCUAACGGCUGCUGUGUCCUGGCUAAGACAAUCUGGGAGGUAUUACUAACUUCAGUCUGUUUGCAGCUCACAUUAUAUCCAGCCUGCUACUCAAAGCGAGAUCCCAGAGCUCGUUUCUCAUUUCAAACAGAGCCUCCUGUCUGUCGGGCCGUUGCCCUGUUUAUAUCGUUCUUGUCUGUUGUUUUAUGUUUAGCUACGAAAGGGUCUCGGUGCAAAAAAUAUACACUAUCCAGUUAAUAUUGUAUGAUAAAGAUAUAUCCAUCCCCCUCUAUAUGUGUUGUAAAUGUAUAAAGUAAAGCCUUUUCAUUCCUGUGUAACACUUUAUUUUGUAAAACUAUGCCAAACCAGAUUGAGGCUUCUAGCCCCCAGAUCUUAUAUUCUGUACAUAUUCUUAAUAAAUUACCAAAAAAAACAAACAACAACUUGA
Acipenser ruthenus (sterlet) is the source of this 5776-nucleotide RNA transcript. It is a transcript of the gene named formin-like protein 3, with no coding region annotated. The record is from RefSeq and is a predicted model, not a curated record. Lineage: Eukaryota; Metazoa; Chordata; Actinopteri; Acipenseriformes; Acipenseridae. The transcript has 28 exons.